Molecule: ribosomal RNA, 474 nt
Filed under: uncultured organism
Description: partial 16S ribosomal RNA
Rfam family: Bacterial small subunit ribosomal RNA
Source: RNAcentral
CACUCCUACGGGAGGCAGCAGUGGGGAAUAUUGCACAAUGGGCGCAAGCCUGAUGCAGCCAUGCCGCGUGUAUGAAGAAGGCCUUCGGGUUGUAAAGUACUUUCAGCGGGGAGGAAGGCGAUAAGGUUAAUAACCUUGUCGAUUGACGUUACCCGCAGAAGAAGCACCGGCUAACUCCGUGCCAGCAGCCGCGGUAAUACGGAGGGUGCAAGCGUUAAUCGGAAUUACUGGGCGUAAAGCGCACGCAGGCGGUCUGUCAAGUCGGAUGUGAAAUCCCCGGGCUCAACCUGGGAACUGCAUUCGAAACUGGCAGGCUAGAGUCUUGUAGAGGGGGGUAGAAUUCCAGGUGUAGCGGUGAAAUGCGUAGAGAUCUGGAGGAAUACCGGUGGCGAAGGCGGCCCCCUGGACAAAGACUGACGCUCAGGUGCGAAAGCGUGGGGAGCAAACAGGAUUAGAUACCCUAGUAGUCCCAUG